CUCAGGAGGCUGUUUUCAGCGUUCCUUAUUACACACUCCACCCCUUGUCCUGUUUUCAGGGUCAAGGAGUUACAUUCUUAUGCAAAAAUAACAUACACACAGUGCCUCAGUAUUUUUCCAUGCCCCGACCUCAAAUGCCAUGUACGUAAGCUUGAAUACGUUGAUGUGCACCCCGCCACAUCUCCCCCUUCUUCAAUUCUUAGAGCGUGCUGGUCAUCCAAUGCAAGCCCAACUGGGAUGUAUCUUUCAGACGCUGCAGGGCUUGGCGGAAGAUCUGAGCCAUUUGCCUGGACGUUCUCCAUGCUAUUGUGAUCGGCCUCAUCUGUCUGAAACCUUGCUGACCCCGGCUUAUCUGGUGUUGGACCAAAUGACCCUGGAGUCUCUGCAUCUUCUUCAGGGUGACCUGUGCAUGUCUGCUAUCCCUGCCCCUGCCAGCCGUAGGCUGACCUCCACCUGACCCUCAACUGCAUGGGCCCUGAUGAGUCACAGGCUCCCUUCACAGAAGGAAGGUGGAAAAAGCUCACGUGAACGUUGCUUUCCUGUCCUUGGACUUCUGACAUCCCUCGGGCCAGCCCUCAGCAGUGAGCCAACCCGCAAGUCCUGCUCAGGAUCCAGUGGGAAGGCAGCUGUCCUCUUGGAUGAUCCUGGCACCAUAUUGGAAGGAGUCCAUCUGUGGAGGCCAUCAGAGAUUUGAUCACCUCAGCUGUUGUUCAGCUCCUCCGGGGACUGGGGGAAUUUUCGUGCCAUUGGUGUUGACAAUGACAUAAUCCUAGCUCUAAGUCGUCUAAGUGUGUUUCUCCACAGAUACACAUCAAGUACUAGGUGGUGCCAUUCUGUCCCACACAACUGUACAAUAAGUCUUCUCAAAGGCUGAGAAGACUCACCAUACAGAGCUUCAUUCCUUGAAACCCUAAGCUGGAACCCUGAAACCUUAUUUUUUCUUUCAGCUACCAUAAGGCUGAAAUUAACCAUAGCCUUCCCAAGGAUUGGUUUCUUCUCAAAGAGUUUUAACUUAUAAAUAGGACCAAAGAUUUUAAAAAUACAAAUGUUUGUCAUUAAAUGAAGUCAUGCAAGUGAAAGUGCCUAGAAUAGUACUUGGCUCAUAGCUGGUACAUGGGAAAGUCUUGUUUUCCACCUCCAUGUACUCCAGACGCAGCUUAGAAAAUCAGGUAACUUGGCCGGGCUCGGUGGCUCAUGCCUAUAAUCCCAGCACUUUGGGAGGCUGAGGCAGGCGGAUCACGA
This 1242-nucleotide long non-coding RNA is filed under the name Homo sapiens (human). RNAcentral's name for it is "HSALNT0345877". The record is from RNAcentral. Lineage: Eukaryota; Metazoa; Chordata; Mammalia; Primates; Hominidae.